RNAcentral lists this ribosomal RNA (253 nucleotides) under uncultured prokaryote. RNAcentral describes it as "partial 16S ribosomal RNA". It matches the Rfam family "Bacterial small subunit ribosomal RNA", at positions 524 to 776 of the family's 1533-position model. The record is from RNAcentral.
UACGAAGGGGGCUAGCGUUGUUCGGAAUUACUGGGCGUAAAGCGCGCGCAGGCGGUCUUUCAAGUCAGUGGUGAAAGCCCGGAGCUCAACUCCGGAAAUGCCAUUGAAACUGUAAGACUUGAGGAUGAGAGAGGUGAGUGGAAUUCCCAGUGUAGAGGUGAAAUUCGUAGAUAUUGGGAAGAACACCGGUGGUGUAGACGGCUCACUGGACCGUAACUGACGCUGAAACACGAAAGCGUGGGUAGCAAACAGG